AGGCUAUGAAGCCGGGGCGCCAGGUCUGGUGGAGCCAUCCUUGAAAUACCACCCUUACUGUCGUUGACGUCUAACCGAGGGCCGUUAUCCGGUCCCGGGACAUGGCGUGGUGGGUAGUUUGACUGGGGCGGUCGCCUCCCAAAGUGUAACGGAGGCGCGCGAUGGUGAGCUCAGAGCGGUCGGAAAUCGCUCGUCGAGUGCAAUGGCAUAAGCUGGCCUGACUGCGAGACUGACAAGUCGAGCAGAGGCGAAAGUCGGCCAUAGUGAUCCGGUGGUCCCGAGUGGAA
Molecule: ribosomal RNA, 287 nt
Filed under: Scenedesmus acunae
Lineage: Eukaryota; Viridiplantae; Chlorophyta; Chlorophyceae; Sphaeropleales; Scenedesmaceae
Description: partial large subunit ribosomal RNA
Rfam family: Bacterial large subunit ribosomal RNA
Source: RNAcentral